GAUGAACGCUAGCUACAGGCUUAACACAUGCAAGUCGAGGGGAAACGCCAUCGAAAGCUUGCUUUUGAUGGGCGUCGACCGGCGCACGGGUGAGUAACGCGUAUCCAACCUGCCCAUCACUUGGGAAUAACCUUGCGAAAGUAAGACUAAUACCCAAUGACAUCCCACGAAGACAUCUGAAUGGGAUUAAAGAUUUAUCGGUGAUGGAUGGGGAUGCGUCUGAUUAGCUUGUUGGCGGGGUAACGGCCCACCAAGGCAACGAUCAGUAGGGGUUCUGAGAGGAAGGUCCCCCACAUUGGAACUGAGACACGGUCCAAACUCCUACGGGAGGCAGCAGUGAGGAAUAUUGGUCAAUGGGCGAGGGCCUGAACCAGCCAAGUAGCGUGCAGGAUGACGGCCCUAUGGGUUGUAAACUGCUUUUAUAAGGGAAUAAAGUGGGUCUCGGGAGACUUUUUGCAUGUACCUUAUGAAUAAGGACCGGCUAAUUCCGUG
Molecule: ribosomal RNA, 492 nt
Filed under: uncultured bacterium
Lineage: Bacteria
Description: partial 16S ribosomal RNA
Rfam family: Bacterial small subunit ribosomal RNA
Source: RNAcentral